AUGGACUCGGGCACCACCGCUCAUAUGACAUGUCAUCCCGGUAACCUCACAUCUUCCACCCCCAUUCGUACUCCCACUCGUAUCACUGUUGGUAAUGGUUCCUCCUUGCCCAUUACACAUGUCAGUCAUAUGUCAUUUCCAUCUACUUCUACUCCUAUUAACAUGAUUAAUGUUCUUGUCUCUCCUGACUUAGUUAUGAACCUUGUGUCCGUUCGUCGCCUUGCUCAUGAGAAUCCUAUUAGUGUCAAAUUUGAUGAUGUUGGCUUUUCUGUGAAGGACGCCCGUACCCGAAUUGUACUCCACCUAUGUGAUAGCCCCGACGAGCUCUAUCUGGUGCAUCCCUCUGCUGCCGCCACCCCCGCCACCAGUCCAGCCACCCUCGCCGCCAGUGUCGAUCUUUGGCAUGAUCGUCUCGGUCAUCCCAACUCCACAGUUUUGCGUCAGAUUCUUCAGAGUUUUUCUUUCUCAUGUAAUAAGGUUGACAACCAUACUUGUGAGGCUUGUCGUCUCGGCAAGCACGUUCGUCUUCACUUUAGCGCGUCUACAACUAUUUCCAAUUUUCCGUUCCAGUUAUUGCAUAGUGAUGUUUCGAUGUCCUCGGUUGCAAGCACACGGGCUAUCUAUACUAUUUGGUGA
Molecule: ribosomal RNA, 636 nt
Filed under: Triticum aestivum (bread wheat)
Lineage: Eukaryota; Viridiplantae; Streptophyta; Magnoliopsida; Poales; Poaceae
Description: partial small subunit ribosomal RNA
Source: RNAcentral